This 430-nucleotide ribosomal RNA is filed under the name uncultured eukaryote. RNAcentral describes it as "SSU rRNA". It matches the Rfam family "Eukaryotic small subunit ribosomal RNA", at positions 10 to 434 of the family's 1831-position model. The record is from RNAcentral.
GAUCCUGCCAGUAGUCAUAUGCUUGUCUCAAAGAUUAAGCCAUGCAAGUCUAAGUAUAAUUGUUUUACGGUGAAACUGCGAAUGGCUCAUUAAAUCAGUUAUAGUUUAUUUGAUGCUAUAGACCGCAAGGUCACUACAUGGAUAUCUGUAGUAACAUAGAGCUAAUACAUGCAAUAUAGUCUGACUUUUUGGAAGGACUAGCACUUAUUAGAUAUUAAACCAGUCCCAGCAAUGGGUUUUUUGGUGAUUCAUAGUAACUGAACAAAUCACAUGGUCUUGUACCGGUGAUGUUUCAUUCAAAUUUCUGCCCUAUCAACUAGAUGGUAGUAUAUAGGACUACCAUGGUUGUAACGGGUAACGGAGGAUUAGGGUUUGAUUCCGGAGAAGGAGCAUGAGAAACGGCUACUAUUUCUAAGGAAAGCAGCAGGCG